AACGAACGCUGGCGGCAGGCUUAACACAUGCAAGUCGAGCGCAUCCUUCGGGGUGAGCGGCGGACGGGUGAGUAACGCGUGGGAACGUGCCCUCUUCUACGGAAUAGCCUCGGGAAACUGAGAGUAAUGCCGUAUACGCCCGCAAGGGGAAAGAUUUAUCGGAGGAGGAUCGGCCCGCGUUGGAUUAGGUAGUUGGUGGGGUAACGGCCUACCAAGCCGACGAUCCAUAGCUGGUUUGAGAGGAUGAUCAGCCACACUGGGACUGAGACACGGCCCAGACUCCUACGGGAAGCAGCAGUGGGGAAUCUUGGACAAUGGGGGCAACCCUGAUCCAGCCAUGCCGCGUGAUCGAUGAAGGCCUUAGGGCUGUAAAGAUCUUUCAGCUGGGAAGAUAAUGACGGUACCAGCAGAAGAAGCCCCGGCUAACUCCGUG
Molecule: ribosomal RNA, 433 nt
Filed under: uncultured bacterium
Lineage: Bacteria
Description: partial 16S ribosomal RNA
Rfam family: Bacterial small subunit ribosomal RNA
Source: RNAcentral